AUUGAGGGGGUUGAAGGACUGCUUGUUGGAAGAGAGAGAGAGAGGAGUAUUGAGGGGGUUGAAGGACUGCUUGUUGGAAGAGAGAGAGAGAGAGAGAGAGAGGGGAGUAUUGAGGGGGUUGAAGGACUGCUUGUUGGAAGAGAGAGAGAGAGGAGUAUUGAGGGGGUUGAAGGACUGCUUGUUGGAAGGGAGAGAGAGAGAGAGAGGGAGGAGUAUUGAGGGGGUUGAAGGACUGCUUGUUGGAAGAGAGAGAGAGAGAGAGAGAGAGAGGAGGGGAGUAUUGAGGGGGUUGAAGGACUGUUUGUUGGAAGAGAGAGAGAGAGGGGAGUAUUGAGGGGUUGAAGGACUGCUUGUUGGAAGAGAGAGAGAGAGAGAGAGAGAGAGAGAGAGAGAGAGAGGAGUGUUGAGGGGGUUGAAGGACUGUUUGUUUGGAGAGAGAGAGAGAGAGAGAGAGAGGGAGUAUUGAGGGGG
RNAcentral lists this long non-coding RNA (471 nucleotides) under Salmo salar (Atlantic salmon). RNAcentral describes it as "lncRNA (ENSSSAG00000094652.1)". The record is from RNAcentral. Lineage: Eukaryota; Metazoa; Chordata; Actinopteri; Salmoniformes; Salmonidae.